GGAGCAGGGACCGAGCAACGGGAGCUCACCCCGUCGCAGGGAUUCGAACCACUAACCUUCUGAUCGGCAAGCCCUAGGCUCUGUGGUUUAACCCACAGCGCCACCCACGUCCCUUUGGACCCUUAGGUGAGAGGUAAGGGAAGUGUCAUUGUCCAGUAUGUUAAAUGUUGGAUGAAUUGGUUUCUAUACCCACCAGGGUGAAAUCCUGUUAUUGGGGAUAGAUUCUGCAUCUUUCCCCCUGUCCAGUGAGAGAUAAAUGUUUUCUUUAGGGAUUGUUCAUGUAGUCCUUCCUUCUGUGUUAGUAUUUAUUUAGCUCUGGCCAGUUCUCAAGGUGUAGAAAUGCGAGUGGGUUGUUGGCUGAGGAUGUGGAAUUGAAUUAUAUGAGUGCCUGCAGAACACAGAGAGUGUGAUUUGAGGGUGCAUUAGAAUAGUAAACUUAAAUAUAUUGGUUUAGAGCAUUGAUGUGAUUGAAUAAGUGCAUUGAUCAUGUAUGGGUGAGCUCGACUGGACCUGAAUGGGAUGCACUUUUUAUGUAGCUGGAUUAAGUUGUGCAUAUAAGAGGCUAGGAAUUUACCUGGAUUGGUUUGUUUAAUAGUAUGAUUAAUGUGUGGUACUUGGGAAGUGAACUGAUUUUCUUAACUGAUGUGAUUAAAAAAGGUUGAAUUUUGAUUUUGAUUUGUAAUAUUUUACUUCCUGGUGGUUAGAGGAUAUUUUGUUUAGCUUUUUGCUAUGUUUAUUAUGAAUUUCCUUUGCAUUUCUUGAGUUUAUUUUUAUGUUUGAUAUUAAAGAGGAUGCUCUAAUUGUUUAUUGUGCUUUAUAGAAUGUAAAAACGCUCUGUUAUUUUUAUAUUUGUUGUUUAGCGAAGACAUUUUCACCUAUGUUUUAAACAGAUUUAGAUUUAGAUUUAAAUAUAAGCAGUAUAUGAAUUGGCCAAAUCAAAUAAUUAAAAUAAAUAACUGUGUGCAUUAUUUUUGUUGGUCUGCAGAUUUGUGUUCCUCCCUCCCUGCACCACCUCAUUUCUGAAGGAAGACUUCUUGCUUCCAGCAACUAACUUGAGUGUGCUCAUCAAUCUCACUAGACUUGCUGGUACUUCUCCUGAUCUGUAGUAUUCAUUCUAGCUGGGUUUCUGUUAUUAUGAACAACCUUCAUUCAUUCUGGAGAUAUUGGGCUCUCCUUUCCCUUUCAGCUUAAUAUCUAAAUAUAUUUAUUGUCACAUGAUGUGUUGUUGAGCUUUCGUAAACUCCUUGAUUCACAGUCAUACAGACGC
Non-coding RNA from Podarcis lilfordi (Lilford's wall lizard), 1267 nucleotides. Lineage: Eukaryota; Metazoa; Chordata; Lepidosauria; Squamata; Lacertidae. The record is from the annotation of a GenBank genome assembly.